AUUGAACGCUGGCGGCAUGCCUUACACAUGCAAGUCGAACGGCAGCACGGGUGCUUGCACCUGGUGGCGAGUGGCGAACGGGUGAGUAAUACAUCGGAACAUGUCCUGUAGUGGGGGAUAGCCCGGCGAAAGCCGGAUUAAUACCGCAUACGAUCCACGGAUGAAAGCGGGGGACCUUCGGGCCUCGCGCUAUAGGGUUGGCCGAUGGCUGAUUAGCUAGUUGGUGGGGUAAAGGCCUACCAAGGCGACGAUCAGUAGCUGGUCUGAGAGGACGACCAGCCACGCUGGGACUGAGACACGGCCCAGACUCCUACGGGAGGCAGCAGUGGGGAAUUUUGGACAAUGGGCGAAAGCCUGAUCCAGCAAUGCCGCGUGUGUGAAGAAGGCCUUCGGGUUGUAAAGCACUUUUGUCCGGAAAGAAAUCCUUGGCUCUAAUACAGUCGGGGGAUGACGGUACCGGAAGAAUAAGCACCGGCUAACUACGUG
This 486-nucleotide ribosomal RNA is filed under the name uncultured bacterium. Its description in RNAcentral is "partial 16S ribosomal RNA". It matches the Rfam family "Bacterial small subunit ribosomal RNA", at positions 30 to 507 of the family's 1533-position model. The record is from RNAcentral.